UGGGGAAUAUUGCACAAUGGGCGAAAGCCUGAUGCAGCAACGCCGCGUGAGUGAUGAAGGUCUUCGGAUUGUAAAGCUCUGUCUUUUGGGACGAUAAUGACGGUACCAAAGGAGGAAGCCACGGCUAACUACGUGCCAGCAGCCGCGGUAAUACGUAGGUGGCGAGCGUUGUCCGGAUUUACUGGGCGUAAAGGGUGCGUAGGCGGAUGUUUAAGUGAGAUGUGAAAUACCCGGGCUUAACUUGGGUGCUGCAUUUCAAACUGGAUAUCUAGAGUGCAGGAGAGGAGAAUGGAAUUCCUAGUGUAGCGGUGAAAUGCGUAGAGAUUAGGAAGAACACCAGUGGCGAAGGCGAUUCUCUGGACUGUAACUGACGCUGAGGCACGAAAAGCGUGGGUAGCAAACAGGAUUAGA
This 411-nucleotide ribosomal RNA is filed under the name uncultured bacterium. Its description in RNAcentral is "partial 16S ribosomal RNA". It matches the Rfam family "Bacterial small subunit ribosomal RNA", at positions 355 to 782 of the family's 1533-position model. The record is from RNAcentral.